AACGCACCUUGCGCUCCUUGGUAUUCCGAGGAGCAUGCCUGUUUGAGUGUCUUGAAGUCAUCAACCCCUACCGUUUCGUGCGGUUUGCGUGUUGGAUCUGGGGGCUUGCUGCCGAGAGGCGGCUCCCCUCAAAUGCGUCGGUUGGGCCUGUGGGUCGAACUCGAUUGGGCGUUGUAUUAUCCUCGCUUUAACGAGAUGUUCCCCUUCUUGUGCCCCUCCACGACCUGCCUUAUGAGUGGCGGUCAAGCAAACUUGAAAUUCUGACCUCAAAUCAGGUAGGACUACCCGCUGAACUUAA
This 298-nucleotide unclassified non-coding RNA is filed under the name uncultured fungus. RNAcentral describes it as "partial contains 5.8S ribosomal RNA, internal transcribed spacer 2, and large subunit ribosomal RNA". The stretch from base 1 to 52 matches the Rfam family "5.8S ribosomal RNA", at positions 103 to 154 of the family's 154-position model. The record is from RNAcentral. Lineage: Eukaryota; Fungi. RNAcentral also lists the same sequence under 1 other name.